RNAcentral lists this ribosomal RNA (245 nucleotides) under uncultured Prevotella sp. RNAcentral describes it as "partial 16S ribosomal RNA". It matches the Rfam family "Bacterial small subunit ribosomal RNA", at positions 524 to 768 of the family's 1533-position model. The record is from RNAcentral. Lineage: Bacteria; Pseudomonadati; Bacteroidota; Bacteroidia; Bacteroidales; Prevotellaceae.
UACGGAAGGUCCAGGCGUUAUCCGGAUUUAUUGGGUUUAAAGGGAGUGUAGGCGGUCUGUUAAGCGUGUUGUGAAAUUUAGGUGCUCAACAUCUAACUUGCAGCGCGAACUGGCGGACUUGAGUGCACGCAACGUAUGCGGAAUUCAUGGUGUAGCGGUGAAAUGCUUAGAUAUCAUGACGAACUCCGAUUGCGAAGGCAGCGUACGGGAGUGUUACUGACGCUUAAGCUCGAAGGUGCGGGUAU